RNAcentral lists this ribosomal RNA (815 nucleotides) under uncultured bacterium. Its description in RNAcentral is "bacterial SSU rRNA". It matches the Rfam family "Bacterial small subunit ribosomal RNA", at positions 8 to 796 of the family's 1533-position model. The record is from RNAcentral.
AGAGUUUGAUCAUGGCUCAGAACGAACGCUGGCGGCGUGGAUAAGACAUGCAAGUCGAGCGCUGAUUCCGGGGUAGCAAUAUUCCGGGGUCGGAGCGGCGCAAGGGUGCGUAACACGUGGGCAAUCUGCCGUGAAGUUUGGGAUAACUUGCUGAAAGGCGAGCUAAUACCGGAUGUGACCGCUGGGAGGCAUCUCCUGGUGGUUAAAGUUGGGGACCGCAAGGCCUGACGCUUCAUGAUGAACCCGCGGCCUAUCAGCUAGUUGGUGAGGUAACGGCCCACCAAGGCUAAGACGGGUAGCUGGUCUGAGAGGACGACCAGCCACACUGGAACUGAGACACGGUCCAGACACCUACGGGUGGCAGCAGUCGAGAAUUUUUCACAAUGGGCGCAAGCCUGAUGGAGCGACGCCGCGUGGGGGAUGAAUGGCUUCGGCCCGUAAACCCCUGUCAUUCGCGAUCAACCCUUAUUAUUUAAAAGAUGAUAAGCUGAUAGUAGCGGAAGAGGAAGGGACGGCUAACUCUGUGCCAGCAGCCGCGGUAAUACAGAGGUCCCGAGCGUUGUUCGGAUUCACUGGGCGUAAAGGGUGCGUAGGUGGUGAGGUAAGUCGGAUGUGAAAGCUCGGAGCUCAACUCCGAAAUGGCAUUGGAAACUACCUUGCUCGAGGGUUGGAGGGGGGACUGGAAUUCUCGGUGUAGCAGUGAAAUGCGUAGAUAUCGAGAGGAACACCAGUGGCGAAGGCGAGUCCCUGGACAACUCCUGACACUGAGGCACGAAAGCUAGGGGAGCAAACAGGAUUAGAUACCCUAGUAGUCC